AGUUCCUGUUGGUGAUUCAUAACAUAGUAGCAAAACUAAUGCAUUUAAAAAUGAAGUUCCAAUUAUUAGAAUAUGAAAAAAUUAAGAUUAAAUAUCUUUUUCCUAACUCAAAAACCUACCGGUCAAAACUAACCUGAACCAUGAGAAGUAAAACCUACCAUUCAAGAGGGUUGAGAUAUGGCACAUUAGCCACUCCAUAUUCUUAACCAAUCUAAUUUCACCAUCUUAUUUCAUCAUCUUCAACAUUCAUCUUAUUCUUUCUUUCUUUCAUUCAUUCAUUCUCUCUCCUGGAAAAGUUGAUGCUUAACAUAGUUUUCUUCACCCUACAAAGCCAGCCUCAAAGUUCUGCAGCGGCAAAGAUGAUACCGGAGGUUUUCAGCCAUGGACAAAGUCGUCUUAUUUACUGAAACUGGAAAGCGUUGCAACAUCAAAAAGAGUCUGCCAGAAGAAAACAACAGAGAGAUUGUCAGGAGACUGCCUAAAAUGUAAGUUUGUUGUCAAAAUUUACACACUGUAAUGACCCAUAAAACCUAAUUUAAAAGUACCAGGCAGAGAUACCCUUUUUGUGUUCCUAAGCUCACCUAAGUACCAUAUUAUUUUUCAUAUGAAGGAUACCUAAGUACCAUAUUAGGAUAUAGUUUUUGCCAUCAGCAAAUGAGCAAUAUUGCUUGGUGGAAGAAAAUAGAUAUGUCAGUGGGUUCAAUUUCAAUAAGAAUAUGAUAAACAUAUCCAUUAGGUUGUUCAACAAAAGCACAAAUAAGAGAUGUUAUAUGAAAUGAUAAAAUAAUAAAUAUUUGUUUUUUCA
Ziziphus jujuba (common jujube) is the source of this 805-nucleotide long non-coding RNA. RefSeq lists it as uncharacterized. The transcript is spliced from 2 exons. Lineage: Eukaryota; Viridiplantae; Streptophyta; Magnoliopsida; Rosales; Rhamnaceae. The record is from RefSeq and is a predicted model, not a curated record.